GUGAGGAAUAUUGGUCAAUGGGCGAGAGCCUGAACCAGCCAAGUCGCGUGAAGGAAGAAGGAUCUAUGGUUCGUAAACUUCUUUUGCAGGGGAAUAAAGUGCGGGACGUGUCCUGUUUUGUAUGUACCCUGAGAAUAAGGAUCGGCUAACUCCGUGCCAGCAGCCGCGGUAAUACGGAGGAUCCGAGCGUUAUCCGGAUUUAUCGGGUUUAAAGGGUGCGUAGGUGGUUUGAUAAGUCAGCGGUGAAAGUUUGCAGCUUAACUGUAAAAAUGCCGUUGAAACUGUCGGACUUGAGUGUAAAUGAGGUAGGCGGAAUGCGUGGUGUAGCGGUGAAAUGCAUAGAUAUCACGCAGAACUCCGAUUGCGAAGGCAGCUUACUAAGCUACAACUGACACUGAAGCACGAAAGCGUGGGGAUCAAACAGGAUUAGAAACCCUGGUAGUCC
RNAcentral lists this ribosomal RNA (445 nucleotides) under uncultured bacterium. RNAcentral describes it as "partial 16S ribosomal RNA". It matches the Rfam family "Bacterial small subunit ribosomal RNA", at positions 354 to 796 of the family's 1533-position model. The record is from RNAcentral.